This 768-nucleotide long non-coding RNA is filed under the name Physcomitrium patens. RNAcentral describes it as "long non-coding RNA (PPAT_LNC007621)". Lineage: Eukaryota; Viridiplantae; Streptophyta; Bryopsida; Funariales; Funariaceae. The record is from RNAcentral.
CCUUCAGCUUCAGUCUGCCAGUCAACACAACUACCGUUAUAAAUCAGCUCCAUCGAUAUCUACUGAAGUGUCAUACAAACGCAUAUACCAGAAUGCUGAAAAAGCUGCAAAUAUUUGAUGACAAAUGGAAUAAUGUGGUAUUUAAACACAUACCAAACCUCAGAACUAAACAGAACAUGCGCUUAAGGUAACAUUACUCUGAAACCCAAUCACUACGGCUAAUAAGUUAGCAUACCUUGCUAUCUGUUGAUGGUGGAGGUGAUUUGAGAGUGUUCGGGCCAGGACUUUUUAAACUGCUGGCUGGAGACAGUAGUGCACGCUUUGCAAUUUCAUCUUCUGCAUACAUCAAUGGAGAAGGGUUGAUAAACUCAGUACCCAUCUCAUUCCCAACUGCAUACAGAAUGAAGAAUCUGUUCUCAAACUAUUGCUCUCGAUGUGAACUAGGGUUUUAAGACAAGGACAACUUGCUUGUGCAUUUAACCCAUUGGAUAAUGGACACAACUAAUAAUGAUAAGUCGUAUCAAAAAUAAAUUCAUUGAUUUCCCCAACAAUAAAAUUCACUUGGCUCUUCAGAUUCUCAACUAACUAUUUCAUAAUUCCAUGGUGCAUGAUUUGUCAGAAUUCUGUGUAAGAAAGAGCAGCAGACCGACCUUCAUUUACAAGCCACCACAUGUCACCAAACGUUGUUUUGCCGUCAUAACCUCCUAUCAGCAAGAAUCGCGGACCUAUGCGAGUCAUAGUGUGGUACGCCCUCGCUGGAGGUGGUUC